UAGAACUUUUGGUUCCAGAUGGAGAAUGUCUCUGCUAGGAGACACAACAAACAUUCCAUUGCGAUGAGAACUCAGAUUUCAAACUGGCCCCUUUGGACUUAUGACGACCAUUAGCCAACGGGCUAAGAUAGGAGUAACAGCAUUAUAAACGGUAAUCAGUCCAAACUACCAGGGGGGAAAUUCCUAUAUUUCUCCAUAAAGGAGGAAAUUAAGGAGAUGUGCUUGUAUUAAAGGUGGCAAGGGGUGCACACAAGGUAUAUAAUCUUAGUUUUCAACUUGACUACAUCCAGAAUCAACUAAAACCCAAACAUCUCAGCACAACAGUGAGGAGCCUUUUUAAUUGGAUCAUUUGAGUUGAGAAGACCAGACUUCUGGGCCACGUAUUCUAGUGACGGCACAUAGAAUGACAUGGAAGAAAGAAGCUUUUGAUUUUGUCUGCUUGCCCUUGCUCUCACUGGUAAAUCCAUCUAUCCUGUUGCUGAGGCAUUCUUUCACAGGUAUUAAUACCUACUUUUUCAGGGUUCCAUCAUAGACUGAGGACUAGCAGGUCUCUAGGAAUCUUCCAGGACUCCAGUAUGAGGCUGAGACUCGGUUGAACAACUAACUACCAGAUUCCUGGCUUUUGAGUCAGGAAAUAAUUUUUGUUGGAGUACCCAUAUUAAAGCCUAUAUACCAUCCUACA
Non-coding RNA from Rattus norvegicus (Norway rat), 682 nucleotides. The record is from RefSeq and is a predicted model, not a curated record. Lineage: Eukaryota; Metazoa; Chordata; Mammalia; Rodentia; Muridae.